RNAcentral lists this ribosomal RNA (442 nucleotides) under uncultured bacterium. Its description in RNAcentral is "partial 16S ribosomal RNA". It matches the Rfam family "Bacterial small subunit ribosomal RNA", at positions 338 to 795 of the family's 1533-position model. The record is from RNAcentral.
CCUACGGGCGGCAGCAGUGGGGAAUAUUGGGCAAUGGGCGCAAGCCUGACCCAGCAACGCCGCGUGAAGGAAGAAGGCUUUCGGGUUGUAAACUUCUUUCCUGGUGGGCGAACAAAUGACGGUACCCCAGGAAUAAGCCACGGCUAACUACGUGCCAGCAGCCGCUGUAAUACGUAGGUGGCACGCUUUAUCCGGAUUUAUUUGGUGUAAAGGGCGUGUAGGCGGGAAUGCAAGUCAGAUGUGAAAACUCAGGGCUCAACCCUGAGCCUGCAUUUGAAACUGUGUUUCUUGAGUGCUGGAGAGGCAAUCGGAAUGCCGUGUGUAGCGGUGAAAUGCGUAGAUAUACGGAGGAACACCAGUGGCGAAGGCGGAUUGCUGGACAGUAACUGACGCUGAGGCGCGAAAGCGUGGGGAGCAAACAGGAUUAGAUACCCCUGUAGUC